CCUACGGGAGGCAGCAGUAGGGAAUCUUUCACAAUGGGCGAAAGCCUGAUGGAGCAACGCCGCGUGCAGGAUGAAGGCCUUCGGGUUGUAAACUGCUUUUAUAAGCGAGAAAUAUGAUGGUAACUUAUGAAUAAGGAUCGGCUAACUACGUGCCAGCAGCCGCGGUCAUACGUAGGAUACGAGCAUUAUCCGGAGUGACUGGGGGUAAAGAGUUGCGUAGGUGGCAUAAUAAGUAGCUAGUGAAAUCUGGUGGCUCAACCAUUCAGACUAUUAGCUAAACUGUUAAGCUCGAGACCGUUAGGGGUAACUGGAAUUUCUAGUGUAGGAGUGAAAUCCGUAGAUAUUAGAAGGAACACCAAUAGCGUAGGCAGGUUGCUGGGACGGUUCUGACACUAAGGCACGAAAGCGUAGGGAGCAAACGGGAUUAGAUACCCUUGUAGUC
Molecule: ribosomal RNA, 442 nt
Filed under: uncultured bacterium
Lineage: Bacteria
Description: partial 16S ribosomal RNA
Rfam family: Bacterial small subunit ribosomal RNA
Source: RNAcentral